AAGUCGUAACAAGGUUUCCGUAGGUGAACCUGCGGAAGGAUCAUUAGCGAAGCAGAAUAGCGCACCGCAAGGUCGCAUUAUUCUCCUAACACCAUGUGAACUUGGAAAGCCGGGCUUCGGCCCGGUCUACAACAAACCGUUGACAAAUGCAUAACUAACUAUGAAUUGACAACCAAACACACAACUUUUAACAAUGGAUCUCUAGGCUCCU
Molecule: unclassified non-coding RNA, 211 nt
Filed under: fungal sp.
Lineage: Eukaryota; Fungi
Description: partial internal transcribed spacer region
Rfam family: Eukaryotic small subunit ribosomal RNA (bases 1-46)
Source: RNAcentral